This 255-nucleotide ribosomal RNA is filed under the name uncultured bacterium. RNAcentral describes it as "partial 16S ribosomal RNA". It matches the Rfam family "Bacterial small subunit ribosomal RNA", at positions 99 to 354 of the family's 1533-position model. The record is from RNAcentral.
CGGACGGGUGAGUAACGCGUGGGGAACCUGCCUCAUACAGGGGAAUAACAGAUGGAAACGUCUGCUAAUGCCGCAUAAGCGCACACUGUGGCAUCACAGAGUGUGAAAAACUCCGGUGGUAUGAGAUGGCCCCGCGUCUGAUUAGGCAGUUGGCGGGGUAACGGCCCACCAAACCGACGAUCAGUAGCCGACCUGAGAGGGUGACCGGCCACAUUGGGACUGAGACACGGCCCAAACUCCUACGGGAGGCAGCAG